GACGGAGGGGGCUAGCGUCGUUCGGAAUGACUGGGCGUAAAGGGCGCGUAGGCGGUUUUUUAAGUGAGGCGUGAAAGCCCUGGGCUUAACCCAGGAGGUGCGUUUCAUACUGAAAGACUUGAGUACGAGAGAGGAAAGCGGAAUUCCUAGUGUAGAGGUGAAAUUCGUAGAUAUCAAGUGGAACACCGGUGGCGAAGGCGGCCUUCUGGACCAUCACUGACGCUGAGACACGAAAGCGUGGGUAGCAAACAGG
This 253-nucleotide ribosomal RNA is filed under the name uncultured bacterium. RNAcentral's name for it is "partial 16S ribosomal RNA". It matches the Rfam family "Bacterial small subunit ribosomal RNA", at positions 524 to 776 of the family's 1533-position model. The record is from RNAcentral.